Molecule: unclassified non-coding RNA, 149 nt
Organism: Pongo abelii (Sumatran orangutan)
Lineage: Eukaryota; Metazoa; Chordata; Mammalia; Primates; Hominidae
Rfam family: Metazoan signal recognition particle RNA
About the family: The signal recognition particle (SRP) is a universally conserved ribonucleoprotein. It is involved in the co-translational targeting of proteins to membranes.
Source: Ensembl
GCCGGGCAUGGUGGUGUGUGCCUGUAGUCCCAGCUACUCAAGAGGCUGAGGUGGGAGGAUCACUUGAGCCCAGGAGUUUGGAAGCUGCAGUGAGCUAUGAUCAUGCCACUGCACUCCAGCCUGGGUGACAGAGCGAGACCUCAUCUCUA